GCCGGGCAUGGUGGCGGACGCCUGUAAUCCCAGCUACUUGGGAGGCUGAGGCAGGAGAAUCGCUUGAACCCAGGAGGCGGAGGUUGCAGUGAGUCAAGAUCAUGCCACUGCACUCCAGCCUGGGUAACAGAGCGAGACUCCGUCUCAA
Unclassified non-coding RNA from Pongo abelii (Sumatran orangutan), 148 nucleotides. It matches the Rfam family "Metazoan signal recognition particle RNA". Rfam says of the family: The signal recognition particle (SRP) is a universally conserved ribonucleoprotein. It is involved in the co-translational targeting of proteins to membranes. The eukaryotic SRP consists of a 300-nucleotide 7S RNA and six proteins: SRPs 72, 68, 54, 19, 14, and 9. NCBI's taxonomy places the organism in Eukaryota, Metazoa, Chordata, Mammalia, Primates, Hominidae. The record is from Ensembl.